GCGCAGCAGGCGCGAAACCUUUACCAUGCACGAAAGUGUGAUAAGGUUACCCGGAGUGCCCAGAGAAAAACUGUGGGCUGUUAUAGGUGUGUAGAUAACCCUAUGAGAAAGGAGAGGGCAAGGCUGGUGCCAGCCGCCGCGGUAAAACCAGCUCUUCAAGUGGUCGGGACUUUUAUGGGCUUAAAAGUGUCCGUAGCCUGUUUGGUAAGUUCCUGGUUAAAAUAUGGCAGCUUAAACUGUCACUUGGCUAGGAAUACUGCCUUAC
Molecule: ribosomal RNA, 265 nt
Filed under: uncultured microorganism
Description: partial 16S ribosomal RNA
Rfam family: Archaeal small subunit ribosomal RNA
Source: RNAcentral